Molecule: ribosomal RNA, 515 nt
Filed under: uncultured archaeon
Lineage: Archaea
Description: bacterial SSU rRNA
Rfam family: Archaeal small subunit ribosomal RNA
Source: RNAcentral
AACCUUUACACUGCACGACAGUGCGAUAAGGGAAUCCCAAGUGCGUAGGCAUAGAGCCUACGCUUUUGUCCACCGUAGGGAGGUGGACGAAUAAGGGCUGGGCAAGACCGGUGCCAGCCGCCGCGGUAAUACCGGCAGCCCGAGUGAUGGCCGAUCUUAUUGGGCCUAAAGCGUUCGUAGCUGGCCGAUCAAGUCUGUCGGGAAAUCUGCUCGCCUAACGAGCAGGCGUCCGGCGGAAACUGAUCGGCUUGGGACCGGAAGACUCGAGGGGUACGUCCGGGGUAGGAGUGAAAUCCUGUAAUCCUGGACGGUCCACCGAUGGCGAAAGCACCUCGAGAGCACGGAUCCGACAGUGAGGAACGAAAGCUGGGGUCUCGAACCGGAUUAGAUACCCGGGUAGUCCCAGCUGUCAACGAUGCCCGCUAGGUAUGGCGCAGGCUACGAGCCUGUGCUAUGCCGUAGCGAAGGCGCUAAGCGGGCCGCCUGGGAAGUACGUUCGCAAGAAUGAAACUUAA